UAAACAGCACAGAAGGUUCCCACGCAGGCAACCCUCUCUGCAGGGGAGAAAGACUAUGACCAGGCACACAAAGGCAUCAGCCAGGGGUGUACUGAGGAGUUUUCCAGAGGCCACAGAAUGCAUGCUAUCACAACAGACAGAAAACAGAAGCAAAGAGGAGAAUCCAGAUGUCUUCUAUUAAGCCAGGCAUUAAAGAGACUUGCAGAAAUGUG
Molecule: long non-coding RNA, 212 nt
Filed under: Homo sapiens (human)
Lineage: Eukaryota; Metazoa; Chordata; Mammalia; Primates; Hominidae
Description: HSALNT0384514
Source: RNAcentral